UGGACGACGUUGUUUGUUAGUAGCGUUUCUAGUUUCUCAACCUAGCAGGCAAAGCAUGGAUAAAUAAAUUUAUUUCAGAACAAAACGACACUUAUGUGUUUAAAAACCCGUAUAUGCUGUAAGUUAUAUGUCUCACAGUAAAUUUAAAACAAAAGUUUAAGAUAAUGCAGACGCAACGGCUUUAAGAAUGAAGUCAUCAAGAAGUGAAAAACGGAAAAUAAGAUCAAUUGAUAUGUUUAUUUUUAGUAAACAUUCAAAAAAUACAAUUAUCGCGGCAUAGGGGUCGUCUAUAUUUAUAUUUGAAUCCAAAGUGUCCAAAUAUUUUCCAAACGUUUGCUUUGUUAGUGCGUUCCUGCAUUGACUACAUUAAUAUUUGGCUUGCGUGCCAGCGACGGAGACACUACAGUCACCACGAUUAGUGCUGUAAAAGCAGUUAUACAGUAUUUCAUGCCAUUUCCUAGUACUGUGGUACUGCAAAAGACAUAAAUCGGUCAAAAGUUUUAUUUCUUGGCUCAUUUAGUUGCAGGAGGCGCUGGCGUUUAAGUGCCUGCAGGCCUCUUUGAUACACUCCUCCGGUUUGAGGUUUCCUGACACGACUCUGACAGGGCUCUGCUUGCCUUGGAUGGCAGAAAGGACAUGAGUUGUUAAGGAUCUUGAGGUUUCCGAGUGUUUGCCAAAGUCAGUUCUGGCCUGAGCAGCAGCUGUAUGAAGUUUCUUAAACUGGCACGUUAUACCAGUCCACCUUAGCAUGGCAGUCAGCAUCACACACAAGUUUACCUUGAAAACUGGACCCCUUCUUCUGUAACAGUACCCAGAUCAAUACUGGUCCAGUAUGCAUGAUGUGGAACCAUAUGCACCAUCGUAAGAGCUCAUCAUUCUAAAAAGCGAGGUGUGUCCUGAUUGGCCAGCUAUCCAGCGUGCGAUGGAAAUGUUACACACCUUACUAUACUGUGAUGUCAUGUUCCGGAGCGCUGAGACAAAGACAUUUAGACCCAUUAUAAACAAGGUAUUUGUUGCAUCCAGUGGGGGACAUAAAUACGGAUUAUAAUGAGAAUACCGGCGGUUCUCAAUUCUAGUCCUCGCGGCCCCCAGCUCUGGCAAUUGUGCAUGUCUCUCUGUUAACAAACCUGAUUCAGAUAAUUAGCUCUUUAGAAGUGAGCUCCGUGUCUGAAUUGUGUUCCAAUUGACAUGGUCCCUACACAGUUUUCAUUGCUCCCUGAGCAGGUGAUAUCUGUUGAAGUUUACCUCACUUCGUAUCAUUCAUUCACGAAUUAGCGCAGCACAAUGUCAUCACACAGGGACAAGUGUGAUAUCAUAUACCUCUAUAAAUAAAUACAAUUUAAAUUCAACGUAGUCUACUCUCCCAGGAUCAGGAAACCUCCAUAAAAUGAACUGCACACAUCUGAA
Carassius auratus (goldfish) is the source of this 1407-nucleotide long non-coding RNA. RefSeq lists it as uncharacterized. NCBI's taxonomy places the organism in Eukaryota, Metazoa, Chordata, Actinopteri, Cypriniformes, Cyprinidae. The record is from RefSeq and is a predicted model, not a curated record. The transcript is spliced from 3 exons.